Molecule: ribosomal RNA, 577 nt
Filed under: uncultured organism
Description: bacterial SSU rRNA
Rfam family: Bacterial small subunit ribosomal RNA
Source: RNAcentral
UGCGAAAGUGCUGCUAAUACCGGACUAAGUCAGCGGGCCGCAUGGCUCGUCGACCAAAGGUGGGGACCUUCGGGCCUGCCGGUCUUGGAGCGGUUCAUGUCCUAUCAGCUUGUUGGUGAGGUAACGGCUCACCAAGGCUGCGACGGGUAGCGGGACUGAGAGGUUGGCCCGCCACGUCGGGACGGAGACACUGCCCGGACACCUACGGGUGGCUGCAGUAACGAAUAUUGGGCAAUGGGCGCAAGCCUGACCCAGCAAUGCCGCGUGCAGGAGGAAGCCCUUCGGGGUGUAAACUGCUGUCAGGGGCUAGCAAGCAACGGGUGUGAAUAGCACCCCGCGCUGAGCCGGCCCAGAGGAAGCCUCGACUAACUCUGUGCCAGCAGUCGCGGUAAGACAGAGGAGGCUAGCGUUGUUCGGAAUCAUUGGGCUUAAAGCGGGUGUAGGCGGCUUGUCAAGUGUCUUGUGAAAGCCCACGGCUCAACCGUGGAAUUGCAGGGCAAACUGGCAGGCUUGAGGUCAGUAGGGGUGUCUGGAACUCUAAGUGGAGCGGUGAAAUGCGGUAGAUAUCUAGAGGAAC